AAAAAAGAUGCCAGGUGACAGAGAUAUUACACACUUGUAUUAUGGAAAGUAUUAAGUGUCACAAGGCCACCUGGAGUGGUGAAAAAGAAAUGACCCCAGUACAGAAGGCCACUGGUCUUUGGAUGUGUACAGCAGAAACGCAAUCCCUCUCUAAUUCAAGCACCCCCGCCCAACUCCAGAGGGAUGGCGCAGACUAACGUGACGAUCCCAUCCUGACAGCGUGUCAAUACAAAGCAAUUUACAAGCACAUGGAAAAUCGACCCCUGGAUAAGAGGCAAUUUCUCUGGUCCGCCGGUUCAGAUGGAGAACGGGCCAAAGGGGGAAAUGGGGCAACGGAACUGGCCCGGCCCGAUCGGGGCAGACUGUCAGGCGGGAGAUACCGUGGGGCGUGGGGGUGAGGCCGUGUCAUGGAUGUGAGAGGCAACAAGAGACGAGCCAUAACGAAGAACGAUGGGGGUUAGUGUCCUGGCAGCUGAUAGCGCAUGAUAACAUCACACAAAACGCAAACAUCCCUGGGGCAAAAAUGUGAAGUAUGAGCUCAAGAUGUGGGAACGGGGGCAAGAAGCUGGGGUAUGUUAGGGCUAUUAAAUUUGAAAUACAGACUUUUAGGCAGUUUUUGUCAAAAAAUGGCACAUGCAGAGGGAAGAAUAAAGAGGCAGCAUUCCUUCAAAAAUUUUUAAAGAAACGAUCUGGAUCAAGUUUUACUUGCGCCGUCGCCAACAGGCACCAGGAAGCACCAGUGAGCGCACAGGUCAUGCCCGAAAGCCGGCUCUCUCGCACAUGGGCGCCGAGAUUACCGCUGGAGUAAGCCUACAUGCUGAAACGACCACGCAGCACCUCAGAGAUGUGUCAGACCCUGAUCAAGCC
Paramormyrops kingsleyae is the source of this 867-nucleotide non-coding RNA. The record is from RefSeq and is a predicted model, not a curated record. NCBI's taxonomy places the organism in Eukaryota, Metazoa, Chordata, Actinopteri, Osteoglossiformes, Mormyridae.